This 253-nucleotide ribosomal RNA is filed under the name uncultured bacterium. RNAcentral describes it as "partial 16S ribosomal RNA". It matches the Rfam family "Bacterial small subunit ribosomal RNA", at positions 524 to 776 of the family's 1533-position model. The record is from RNAcentral.
UACGUAGGGUGCGAGCGUUAAUCGGAAUUACUGGGCGUAAAGCGUGCGCAGGCGGUUUGGUAAGACAGAUGUGAAAUCCCCGGGCUCAACCUGGGAACUGCAUUUGUGACUGCAUGGCUAGAGUACGGUAGAGGGGGAUGGAAUUCCGCGUGUAGCAGUGAAAUGCGUAGAUAUGCGGAGGAACACCGAUGGCGAAGGCAAUCCCCUGGACCUGUACUGACGCUCAUGCACGAAAGCGUGGGGAGCAAACAGG